GACGAACGCUGGCGGCGCGCCUAACACAUGCAAGUCGAACGGGAUCUUUUGGGAGCUUGCUCCCGGCUGAUCUAGUGGCGGACGGGUGAGUAACACGUGAGCAACCUGCCGAGAAGAGGGGGAUAACGUCUGGAAACGGACGCUAAUACCGCAUAACAUACCAGAGUGGCAUCGCUUUGGUAUCAAAGGAGCAAUCCGCUUUUCGAUGGGCUCGCGCCCGAUUAGAUAGUUGGUGGGGUAACGGCCCACCAAGUCGACGAUCGGUAGCCGGACGGAGAGGUUGAACGGCCACAAUAGGACUGAGACACGGCCCAGACUCCUACGGGGGGCAGCAGUGGGGAAUAUUGGGCAAUGGGGGAAACCCUGACCCAGCGACGCCGCGGGAGUGAAGACGGCCUUCGGGUUGUAAAGCUCUGUUGCAGAGGACGAUAAUGACGGUACUCUGUGAGGAAGCCACGGCUAACUACGUGCCAGCCGCCGCCGUAAGAC
RNAcentral lists this ribosomal RNA (489 nucleotides) under uncultured bacterium. RNAcentral describes it as "bacterial SSU rRNA". It matches the Rfam family "Bacterial small subunit ribosomal RNA", at positions 28 to 526 of the family's 1533-position model. The record is from RNAcentral.